RNAcentral lists this transfer RNA (68 nucleotides) under Tamandua tetradactyla (southern tamandua). RNAcentral describes it as "tRNA-His". It matches the Rfam family "tRNA". From Rfam's summary of the family: Transfer RNA (tRNA) molecules are approximately 80 nucleotides in length. The record is from RNAcentral. Lineage: Eukaryota; Metazoa; Chordata; Mammalia; Pilosa; Myrmecophagidae.
GCGGAUAUAGUUUACACAAAACACUAGAUUGUGAAUCUAGAGACAGAAUAUAAAAACCCUUAUCCACC